Juglans microcarpa x Juglans regia is the source of this 432-nucleotide long non-coding RNA. RefSeq lists it as uncharacterized. Lineage: Eukaryota; Viridiplantae; Streptophyta; Magnoliopsida; Fagales; Juglandaceae. The record is from RefSeq and is a predicted model, not a curated record. The transcript has 2 exons.
AGCAACAAUAAUUUGCAAGUAAUGGAUCUACUAGUUCUACCUACUGAAGCUAGCCAAAUUGUUAAGCAACGCCUUUUGAAUUUUAUAAGAUUGUUGUCAACUGUCCUGGCCUUUGCCUUUUGUUUGUCAAUUUUGCAUAUCAUCACUUACUGUGGCAUGAGAUGCUAAUUUCUCUAUUGAUUAUAUUAGACCGGGGAUGAGAAGACUUCUGAAGAGCAAUGUCAAUUUUUUUAGUCAUUUGGGGUGCAAGUAGCAUGAAUGUUCUUGACAAAUUAGUUCAUGGUUGUUGUUAUGUAUUGGAGUUUGAUUAAAGCAAUGUAUUGUGUUUUGUGAUGUAAUAUAUAAAUACCAAACAAUAUAAUAUGUAGUGGAUUGCAUCAUGUAUGUUGCAUGCAUUUUACAUGAUGAAUAUUGAAUUUUUUUUUUAUUUUA